GUUCAUUUUUAUUACCUUAUUCUCGGGAUCGGCUGUUGUAAGAGUCAGCCACCCUCGGUUAGAUGGCCUUGGCUAUCAAGGCCUGGGGAGAACCGUUUUAAAUUCCCAUACACGUGUCUCUCGAAGAUCCUGUGAGAUCCAUAUUGAGCGGCGCAACUUGAAAUUAGUCGUAUAUAUAUGGGCAUAAUAAUAAUAAUAGGCUCUAAUAUAACGGACAAGACUUAGACGGACUUAAACAAGACUUUUACUAGACUUCGUAAGACUUAGUUUGUAUUAAAAUAUCAAACAACCGUAG
This is a non-coding RNA of Cinara cedri, 295 nucleotides long. The record is from the annotation of a GenBank genome assembly. NCBI's taxonomy places the organism in Eukaryota, Metazoa, Arthropoda, Insecta, Hemiptera, Aphididae.